GCAAGUCGAGCGGUAACAGAGAUAGCUUGCUAUCUGCUGACGAGCGGCGGACGGGUGAGUAAUGCUUGGGAAUAUGCCAUUGAGUGGGGGACAACAGUUGGAAACGACUGCUAAUACCGCAUAACGUCUACGGACCAAAGGGGGGGCUUCUUCGUAACCUCUCGCUCAUUGAUUAGCCCAAGUGAGAUUAGCUAGUUGGUAAGGUAAAGGCUUACCAAGGCGACGAUCUCUAGCUGGUUUGAGAGGAUGAUC
Molecule: ribosomal RNA, 252 nt
Filed under: uncultured bacterium
Lineage: Bacteria
Description: partial 16S ribosomal RNA
Rfam family: Bacterial small subunit ribosomal RNA
Source: RNAcentral